This is a long non-coding RNA of Magnolia sinica, 1770 nucleotides long. RefSeq lists it as uncharacterized. NCBI's taxonomy places the organism in Eukaryota, Viridiplantae, Streptophyta, Magnoliopsida, Magnoliales, Magnoliaceae. The record is from RefSeq and is a predicted model, not a curated record. The transcript is spliced from 2 exons.
AAUAUGAACUUUACAGGGACUAGACAGGAUUCAGGCUCCCACCCCAAAAAACAAGAAGAGAGCCUAUCAUUUGAAAACCGAAACAGAAAAAACUACCCACCGAACCCUUAAGAUAUUUUUUAAUGGCCCCCAACCCGGAUUUGUCAAGCACCAUUAACCCCCUAAUCUCAACGGGGAGAUCGGACAAAACCCAAUAGACAGCAUUCCGCUGCGAGCUGCUCCCAAUGCGAGCCAGGCCAUUAGCAGGGCCGUUAAUCUCCCUCGGGAUAUGGCGAAAAGAGAAAGAUCCCUGAUUUUUAAGCGCCUCAUUCUCUUGAUCCAGUGUUUCCGGGCCCAGCUUGAAUUCAAGCUACCACAAUGGAGGUCGAUAACAAAUUUGGAAUCAGAUUCCACCUCAAUUCUAGACAGACCCGGGCUGAGACACAUGAAGAGGCCGUUCCAAACCGAGCGAAGUUCUGCCCUGUUUCUGGACCCUUUGCCGAAUCCCACCGGAAAUGCAAACAAGAGAUUGCCUUCAGCAUUUCUGCAAAUUCCUCCACCACCCGAAGGCCCUGGGUUCCCACAAGCGGACCCAUCCAGAUUCAGCUUAGCCCAACCCUCCAUCGACUUAACCCACCCGACGACCUCAAAACCGACACUCUGAGGCUGCUGUUGGUAUGAUGGGACUCAAUGGCUUAUGCACCAAAAGCCCUACAAAUAAAGAAGUCCUACGUAUAAAAAAAUUGAGCUUUUAUUGGUUGAAUGAAAGCUGUUUUUUUUUACUUAACUUUUUAAUUUUUAAUUUUUGGUUGUCCACAUUUCAAAGGUUUAGGGUCUUUUUCAAUCGAGGAGAUGUUCAUUGAUCAUAGACACUAGAGGCUGCAAUAUCAAUGGUUUGGAUCAAUGAAGAGCUGGCCCCACUAGUACAAACUGAAAGUGUUAGUAGAAACAUCUUCAUUUUAUUUUAUUUUGUUAAAUUCUUUAUUAGUUGCCAGAUAUGUGCCCCACCAAGAUGAAUAUGUACACCCUAGAAAUCAGGCCAUUCAAAAACUCAGAUAGAUGGGCCACACUACUAGAUUCUCAUAUAGACAAAUUGCUAGACAUGAAGAUUGAAUGGUUUUGGGCACGCGAUGCAUCCUGACUUGUACAGAAACUGGGAUUAGUGCUCGGAACUUUCAAUCUAAUGGGGCCCACCAUGGAUCUUGGACGCUCAUAAAAUAUUCCAGAGUCAGAAAUCAUAGCCACCCAAUUUGUAAUAUUUUAUUUUUUCUGGACUUUAGAUUUAUUUCUUCUGGGACCCUCUAUUUGUACCCCUCUUAUCAAAGGGUUAAAAUCUUCCAACUUGGGAAGUUUUUACAGCACACCCAAAGGUUUGUAUCACUUCACAAAAGGGCUUCUUCUAUAUAUUUUUUUUUUACAAUGGUUGCACUGAGUUGAUGGGUCAUUCCUUCCAAAGCUUUGGAGGCUGUGUCAUCUGUAGGUUGUUUGUCUGUCGGAUUCUCAGGGCUGUUUGGAGCUUCUAGCACUGCGAGGCAAUCUUGCAUGUGAGGCUGGGGGAUUGGGUGAGCCAAUAUGGUUUUAUGUAGUUUCAGUUUUUCUGCUGUCUUUGGUGUAUCUUUGUGCAAAUUGCUCCAUCUCUUUUCUCCCUUUCCCAUCUGGGUCUAUUUGUAGGGUGGCCCAUCUGGCUGUCAUUAUAGUGGCUUUUUUUUUUUUUUUUUUUUUGGGCUCUUCGAAAAUAUGUAUUCAGCUAACUGUUUUAUCAACAAAGUUACAAGUAUAAUGCUUUCACUA